This 253-nucleotide unclassified non-coding RNA is filed under the name plant metagenome. RNAcentral's name for it is "partial contains small subunit ribosomal RNA, internal transcribed spacer 1, and 5.8S ribosomal RNA". The record is from RNAcentral.
UUUCCGUAGGUGAACCUGCGGAAGGAUCAUCACUGAGUUUUGAAUGAAGUUGUUCUGGUCUUUCGGGGCAGGUGAACGCUUCUCUCAAUCCAUCUUACACCUGUGCACCUAUCGGGGAAGACUUGGAUCUAAGUUGGGUCACGACGGCGAUCUACAGUCUCCUCUUUAUACCAAAUAACAGUUUUAGAAAGUCUUUUUUGCUUGAUGCAAACUUAAAUAAAUACAACUUUCAGCAACGGAUCUCUUGGCUCUC